RNAcentral lists this transfer RNA (77 nucleotides) under Mycobacterium phage FudgeTart. Its description in RNAcentral is "tRNA-Pro". It matches the Rfam family "tRNA". From Rfam's summary of the family: Transfer RNA (tRNA) molecules are approximately 80 nucleotides in length. The record is from RNAcentral. Lineage: Duplodnaviria; Heunggongvirae; Uroviricota; Caudoviricetes.
CGGGGUGUAGUUCAGUUUGGAAGAGCGCUUGGUUUGGGACCAAGUUGUCGCAGGUUCGAAUCCUGUCACCCCGACUC